AACGCACAUUGCGCCCUUUGGUAUUCCACAGGGCACACCCGUUCGAGCGUCAUUACAACACUCAGGCCCUGCCUGGUAUUGGGUGCCGCCCUUUCGAGGGCGCCCCUCAAACUCAUCGGCGUCGCCGACCGUCCUCGAGCGCAGCGAGAAUACAAUUUUCAGCGUCAUCGAGGGGGUCCCGCGACCGCCGGAAGACAAUUCACUCUUCACGUUUGACCUCGGAUCGGGUGGGGAUACCCGCUGAACUUAA
This 250-nucleotide unclassified non-coding RNA is filed under the name uncultured Ascomycota. Its description in RNAcentral is "sequence contains 5.8S rRNA gene, ITS2, 28S rRNA gene". Lineage: Eukaryota; Fungi; Ascomycota. The record is from RNAcentral.